Long non-coding RNA from Galeopterus variegatus (Sunda flying lemur), 2881 nucleotides. RefSeq lists it as uncharacterized. NCBI's taxonomy places the organism in Eukaryota, Metazoa, Chordata, Mammalia, Dermoptera, Cynocephalidae. The transcript is spliced from 2 exons. The record is from RefSeq and is a predicted model, not a curated record.
CAUCACAGCUUUUUUUCUUUCAAUUUUUAUUGAACACAAGUAUUCUGACAGAAUGCAAAGUCAAAAUUCUCAGUUAGUACUCAGUAUUUACACCAGUGAGAAUGAAAACAAAGGUGGUGUCGAUGUUUCACUUGGUAAAAAGUUUUAUAACAAGAGAGAAGGCCCCCAAAGUACAGAAUGCUGGGUAGGGAUGUUAAUGGAGGUUGAGAACCACCAUCCAGACAGACAGCCUAGAGUGAAAACCUGGGACUAGGAAGGCUCCGUAGAAAAGUGUGAAAAUAGAGUUCCACUUCAGAAGCUGCUCUAUGUACAUGACGGCCCUUCAGGACUGGCAGACCCCACUGACGGCACCCGUGUGCCCCUCCAGCAGACUGUGGCCUUGCCGGGUUUAAUGUGAAUACAUAUGUAUGGCACAUACACAUAUACACACAUAGACACUGGAAACCGGUGGAGUUGACCCCUCUUUCAAAAAAUUAAAAAAGGAAAAUUAUAAGCUUAUGUUAUCUCUUAACAUAAAAGAACAUUUUGAAAAUAAAGCGACUCCCUCUUUGAUUUUAGAGAAAGCAUUGCUCUUUUAAGAAGGAAAGAAAGAAAGGGAAACUCAUGCAUGCUGAGACAAACCUAUGUGUAGUAGCAGGAGAGAGGCAGCCCAAGGGCGGGCAGAGUUUUGGGUUCCAGCUAAUGGCGGGGCCAGGGUUCUGGGGGGUCAGCUGCCCUGGGCCAGCUUAUCUGAGGGUUGACUAUAUCUCUGUCUCUCCCUAACCAUUAGAACCAGAAUCAGUUUUCUUAACCACAACUACUUGGAGUGAAAUGCACGGUCUCCACGAGGUACGGCAGGGCUUGGUCUAGUUGGUCGAAGCCAUUACCAUUUCCUUAAGAGGAACCCAUUCCACUGAACAGCCCGGUGACCGGGAAAGCCUGCCCCUCCCUGCAGGGUCCUGCCCAUCUCAGGCACCCAGCCUCUCCCAUUCUGCUGCGAGUUCUAAGAUCUGUCCUUCCCAUCGCUUUUCCCUGAGGGCCCGUGCAUUUGAAACACAGAUUUGUGCAGGCCCUAGAAUUAAAGGGGCCAGGGCUGUGCAUUCUGGGAUCCUCCAUUUCUAUCCCCAGGAGCUGAGAAAAUGCAAAAUAACCCCACAUUUAGCAAAUGACAAGACCAAUUAUUUUUCACAGUUUGAAAUGAUAAUCUAACAUUGCCACUGAUCAGACUGCAGAAGUGUCAGAGUAUUGGGGAGUGUGGCUCACAGAAUGUACUCAGGGUGGUCUUGCCAGCCUAACCUCUCCCUGCUUUGUACCUUAGGAAAGGAACACAUGCCAGAGAACUGAUUUCUGUUUACUUAGAGUUGUCUUCAUCAUCAUAAUCUUCUGUAUUUCAUUUUCUUUGUUUAAAGGCUUCAAUUCCUUUUAAGAGUUAUUUUUGUUUCCUGAAUAUUUUUCUGAACUAUCUGCUAUACCUUCCACAACCAAACUAUGUUGAAGUUUAUUUCAAUACUAUGACAAAAACACGUUUCACACUAAAAUAUUCACGCAUCCACAGUGCACAAGCUUGCAGUUCUAAAGUAGGAUGAGAAAAAAAAGCAAAAUUUCUAUACAAAGGGCUGGCUUUUCCCUCCUCCCCCCCCUCCCAUCCCCCUUAAAGUUUCUGUAUUUUUUUCCCCCACUUGGUUUCCAAUCCAGGAAAGUUGUGUUAUGACUCCAGACAGUAGGUUUUUUUCUCUUUUCUUUUGUUUCUACAAAUGCUGCCUAAGUGAACAGAAGGCCGAUGUUACUUUACUUCAACAGAUUUCCAAAAAAAGACACUAAUUCCCUGAAGCGCACAUGCUCUUCCGCUCAAAUCUAGAUUCUGGGCUCAAAAGGAAAUGGUAUGUAUAUAUUUUAUUUGGCUUUCUACAAAAAGGGGAUGUUUGGGGUAAAAAUGUGUGUUCACCAAGACCAGCCCCAACUAUACAAUCUUCUCUGCUUCAUUCAACAAAGCCUAAGGAGUCCUUCAGAAGGAAGGCGGGGGACGUCUGGGGAGCAGAUCCUUUUUCACAGAUGCAGGCAGGUGGCGGCUAAUCAGAAAGUGGUCUAACCCCCAAAGAAACGCAAAAAAGAACGGAAAACUGAAAAACAAAACCAUUCCAGAACAAGGUGAAUCUUCAUCUGAAUUGGACACAGGCAAAAACUGCAGAUCGGAAUGGGGGAAGAGCCACUGUAAACAAUCAUAUUGGGUGAAGUCGUCCUGUGCUCAAGCAAGCCUGUGACGAUCCUCCCUACCUAGGCGGUAUUUGUUACUUAAAGAAAAAAGGCAGCUAUUUUACAUGGACAUUUAACCACAACUGAAGUCAAACCUUUGUCAACUUGUAAACACUAGAAAACAAAGUUGGCAGAAAGGAAAAAAAAAAAAAAAAGGAUGAAAAAGAAGGCCGAAUACUGCAAAUUGAGAUCUACUCCCAGAAGCUGCAAUUUGGCAUUCUUCCUACAAAACAAGAGUCUACGUGGGAAUUGAAUUCAGCUAGAAAGGGUGACACACUUUGCAUACUGAACCAAUACAAAGUGAACAGAAAUUAUAACUUAUUUAUGAGGUUUUACAGAGUUCAAACUCGACUGAAAGUAUAAAAAUAAACUGUGGACUUUGUUCAUUCGGUGAGUCUUAGUGCCUGAAAGCAUUUCUCUGAAACUGGUCUGUGCCAAUCGGGUAACCCAAGUGUGGUUUGCCUGAACCUAGAUUUCUUUUUUCUGAGCUUCCUAGAUUCUUAAUUUGGGGUCCUUUUGUUUGAUUUUUAAAUGGUUUCAGGGAACGGAGUGUCCUAGUUUGGCUGUGGGUUUAACCUUUUUGUCUUAUUUUCUUACAAGGAACUGUGCAACAAAGGGACCCUUUCUAUACAUCUACAAAAAGGAGCUC